RNAcentral lists this transfer RNA (62 nucleotides) under Kaestneriella sp. KaspPE. RNAcentral describes it as "tRNA-Asp". The record is from RNAcentral. Lineage: Eukaryota; Metazoa; Arthropoda; Insecta; Psocodea; Peripsocidae.
GAAGAUUUAGUUAAUUCUAUAACGUUAGAGUGUCAACCUAAAAUUAUCUAUGAUAAUCUUUU